This is a long non-coding RNA of Pristis pectinata (smalltooth sawfish), 518 nucleotides long. RefSeq lists it as uncharacterized. The record is from RefSeq and is a predicted model, not a curated record. The transcript has 3 exons. NCBI's taxonomy places the organism in Eukaryota, Metazoa, Chordata, Chondrichthyes, Rhinopristiformes, Pristidae.
CAUUUUAUGUCUUUGUGUGUGUCUUUCUGCACAUAUAGUUUCUGUGUGUGUGUGUGUGUGUGUGUGUGUGUGUGCUUUCUUCUGUCUGUGUAUGCAGAGAUAUACUAACACAGUGUGUCAGAGGAAGUCAAGGACAAGGUGAGGGAUGAGAACUUGUUCGAAGUUAAAUUAAGCAACAUAGUCUGUAUUUCCUCAAAGACCGAGCCACUGCCUGAUCUGCUUUCCUGCGCUAGUCUAACCCUGCUUCAGAAUCAGCCAUGCGUCUGACCAGUCCUGUAAAUCUUUGGAGGACUGAACUCACAGGUCUCCCUAAGCACUAGUUUUGAAAGAGUGCUUAUUUUAUAAUUGAAUCAAUGAUUUAUCAAAAGGCACUGAAGAGUUUUAAUAACUUGUUAUAAUGUACAACCUUUCCCUUCAAAAAGACGGACAAUUAUGUAGUGGCUUGAAGCCUCAGCUGUUGAAUUUGAGAUGAUGUGGUGAUUUACUGACUUGUAAUCAGAGAAUGUUAAUCAAUGCUU